Molecule: ribosomal RNA, 632 nt
Filed under: uncultured delta proteobacterium
Lineage: Bacteria; Deltaproteobacteria
Description: bacterial SSU rRNA
Rfam family: Bacterial small subunit ribosomal RNA
Source: RNAcentral
CAGGCCUAACACAUGCAAGUCGAGCGAGAAAGCCCGCAAGGGUGAGUACAGCGGCGCACGGGUGCGUAACACGUGGGUAAUCUGCCCUGAAGCCCGGAAUAACCUCCCGAAAGGGAAGCUAAUACCGGAUGAGACCACGGGAGCCUUGGCUCCUGUGGGAAAAGGUGGCCUCUGCAUGCAAGCUAUCACUUCAGGAUGAGCCCGCGGCCCAUCAGCUCGUUGGCGGGGUAACGGCCCACCAAGGCUACGACGGGUAGCUGGUCUGAGAGGACGAUCAGCCACACUGGAACUGAGACACGGUCCAGACUCCUACGGGAGGCAGCAGUGGGGAAUCUUGCGCAAUGGGCGAAAGCCUGACGCAGCAACGCCGCGUGUGUGAUGAAGGUCUUCGGAUCGUAAAGCACUGUCGGGAGGGACGAAUAAGGGCCAGGUGAACAAUCUGGUCCGAUGACGGUACCUCUAAAGGAAGCACCGGCUAACUCUGUGCCAGCAGCCGCGGUAAUACAGAGGGUGCAAGCGUUGUUCGGAAUUAUUGGGCGUAAAGCGCGUGUAGGCGGUCUCGCAAGUCGGAUGUGAAAGCCCUCGGCUUAACCGAGGAAGUGCGUUCGAAACUACGAGACUUGAGUACCGGA